CAAUUGAAGAGUUUGAUCAUGGCUCAGAUUGAACGCUGGCGGUAACUUUUAAACAUGCAAGUCGAGCGGUAACAGACAUAAAGAUUCAGCUUGCUGAAUCCGGUGCUGACGAGCGGCGAACGGGUGAGUAACGCGUAGGAAUCUACCCAGUAGCGGGGGAUAGCCCGGGGAAACCCGGAUUAAUACCGCAUACGCCCUAAGGGGGAAAGGGGGCAGCUUGCUGCUUUCACUAUUGGAUGAGCCUG
RNAcentral lists this ribosomal RNA (245 nucleotides) under SAR86 cluster bacterium. RNAcentral describes it as "partial 16S ribosomal RNA". It matches the Rfam family "Bacterial small subunit ribosomal RNA", at positions 1 to 233 of the family's 1533-position model. Lineage: Bacteria; Pseudomonadati; Pseudomonadota; Gammaproteobacteria. The record is from RNAcentral.